Molecule: long non-coding RNA, 1030 nt
Filed under: Cyanistes caeruleus (blue tit)
Lineage: Eukaryota; Metazoa; Chordata; Aves; Passeriformes; Paridae
Description: lncRNA (ENSCCEG00000016903.1)
Source: RNAcentral
GGGGACGGGGAGAGGGACAGGGACUGGGGGACCCCCGUCAGCAGGAGCGGCCCUCUCCGUCCCUCGGGCGCAGCCGGUGUUCCAGCGGCCGGUGGUGGUGGUGACGCUCGGAACGGCCUCGGGAGCGAGGAGCCGCUCGGGCCCUCGAGGAGCCGCUCCCGGUUCCAGCCGCUCCCGGGCGUGCCGAGCCUCCCGCAGCCCGUGCGGGCCGCCCCGAUAAUCCGCCGGUUCCAGGAACGCGGCGCUCGGUGCGGGCUUGUGGCACAGGCUCAGUGCAGGGUUCGCCGCUGACAUCGCUGAGGGAGCGGCUGCGGCAGGAAGCGUGUGAGGCACGAAGAGAGAAGCUGCUUGGCAUCUAAAUGUUUCGGAAAUGGCCAAAAAUUAUUGGCUCCCUAACCGAGCAGGCACUUAUCCCAGGAAAUGUGCCCUGGCAGAGGAUUCCUGCAUGUAAUGGAAAACCAGAAUUACUGAGAGCAACCAGCACCUGCCAAAAUCUGCUUCAGUGAGGAAUGGCCUGAGCUCACCAAAUGGAUGGUCAGAGCUGUUGGAUGUUCAAGCACUAAACUCAGCAGCCUUAAGGCUCACAGCUGAAGGAAUUGAAGGAACCCAGCAAGACUGCAUUGUGUGAGCAUUACUGCAUCACUUCAAUUAAGUCUUAAUUUUUUUAAUGAAAAAGACAAUAUUCUACUUGAAAUACAGAUACAAAUGUAUUAAUCUAGAACCUGUUUCUGUUCAUGGCUGUCCUUGUAUAUAGGAAGACCUUUGGAUCCUUAUACAAAGCCAGUGUUAAUGUUUCCAGAGUCUGGAGAUAAGAUAGUGGUUGUUUCCUUAACAACAGGUUUUCCCUGCAGGAAUAGAGCCUAUGGCUGAAACUGUGGCUGACAGGUUGAUUUCGGCUAUUAAACUACAAUCAACUCACAGGAGUCACUGAAUUUUUUUCUGCCCUCUCUCUGCAUGUAACUUAGGCAUCACAUGGACUACAACUCCUGACCUCAAGAUAAAUAUUUGUGCACCUGGAGUUAGGUCCUCA